Molecule: ribosomal RNA, 388 nt
Filed under: Dehalococcoides sp. enrichment culture clone AQ1-1
Lineage: Bacteria; Bacillati; Chloroflexota; Dehalococcoidia; Dehalococcoidales; Dehalococcoidaceae
Description: bacterial SSU rRNA
Rfam family: Bacterial small subunit ribosomal RNA
Source: RNAcentral
GAUGAACGCUAGCGGCGUGCCUUAUGCAUGCAAGUCGAACGGUCUUAAGCAAUUAAGAUAGUGGCGAACGGGUGAGUAACGCGUAAGUAACCUACCUCUAAGUGGGGGAUAGCUUCGGGAAACUGAAGGUAAUACCGCAUGUGGUGGGCCGACAUAUGUUGGUUCACUAAAGCCGUAAGGCGCUUGGUGAGGGGCUUGCGUCCGAUUAGCUAGUUGGUGGGGUAAUGGCCUACCAAGGCUCCGAUCGGUAGCUGGUCUGAGAGGAUGAUCAGCCACACUGGGACUGAGACACGGCCCAGACUCCUACGGGAGGCAGCAGCAAGGAAUCUUGGGCAAUGGGCGAAAGCCUGACCCAGCAACGCCGCGUGAGGGAUGAAGGCUUUCGGGU